GCAGGCUUAACACAUGCAAGUCGAACGGUAACAGAGAAUAGCUUGCUAUUUUGCUGACGAGUGGCGGACGGGUGAGUAAUGCUUGGGAAUAUGCCUUAUGGUGGGGGACAACAGUUGGAAACGACUGCUAAUACCGCAUAACAUCUCCGGAUCAAAGUGGGGGACCUUCGGGCCUCACGCCAUAAGAGUAGCCCAAGUGGGAUUAGCUAGUUGGUAAGGUAAUGGCUUACCAAGGCGACGAUCCCUAGUUGGUCUUAGAGGAUGACCAGCCACACUGGAACUGAGACACGGUCCAGACUCCUACGGGAGGCAGCAGUGGGGAAUAUUGCACAAUGGGCGCAAGCCUGAUGCAGCCAUGCCGCGUGUGUGAAGAAGGCUUUCGGGUUGUAAAGCACUUUCAGCGAGGAGGAAAGGUUGUACUUUAAUAGAGUGCAGCUGUGACGUUACUCGCAGAAGAAGCACCGGCUAACUCCGUGCCAGCAGCCGCGGUAAUACGGAGGGUGCGAGCGUUAAUCGGAAUUACUGGGCGUAAAGCGCGCGUAGGUGGUUAAUUAAGUCAGAUGUGAAAUCCCAGGGCUCAACCUUGGAACUGCAUUUGAAACUGGUUGACUAGAGUUUUGUAGAGGGUGGUAGAAUUUCAGGUGUAGCGGUGAAAUGCGUAGAGAUCUGAAGGAAUACCAGUGGCGAAGGCGGCCACCUGGACAAAGACUGACACUGAGGCGCGAAGGCGUGGGGAGCAAACGGGAUUAGAUACCCCGGUAGUCCACGCAGUAAACGAUGUCUAUUAGAAUUUUGUGGCUAUAUGCCGUGGGAUUCAAAGCUAACGCAUUAAAUAGACC
RNAcentral lists this ribosomal RNA (839 nucleotides) under uncultured Psychromonas sp. Its description in RNAcentral is "bacterial SSU rRNA". It matches the Rfam family "Bacterial small subunit ribosomal RNA", at positions 42 to 870 of the family's 1533-position model. The record is from RNAcentral. Lineage: Bacteria; Pseudomonadati; Pseudomonadota; Gammaproteobacteria; Alteromonadales; Psychromonadaceae.